Long non-coding RNA from Melanotaenia boesemani (Boeseman's rainbowfish), 415 nucleotides. RefSeq lists it as uncharacterized. The record is from RefSeq and is a predicted model, not a curated record. The transcript has 4 exons. NCBI's taxonomy places the organism in Eukaryota, Metazoa, Chordata, Actinopteri, Atheriniformes, Melanotaeniidae.
GACAGACUUCAACAAAUUUCAGGGCAUCAUUUCAUUUGUGAAUAUUAAAGGAGUGCACUGGAAGUUACUGUAUGUAUUGCCUGCCAUAAGUGCAGUUUUUUUCCUGGAUCCUGAGAAAAAUGAGUCAGAGCAAGCCGAGUCGGAGAAAGCUGCAAAAAGAAUUCAGGAAUAUCUGAGGAUGCGCAUGAUCCUCCAUGGAAAAAAUGACUGGGGAAAGAUCCGAUGGAGAGGACUGAUCAUGGAUCAUCCACUGCAGUCUGAUAACUGCAGUUGUGGCGUCAUUGUCACCAUGAUGGCAAAGGCAGUGAUGGAGGCAUAUCCUGCACUUCCAGCCAUGUCCUUUCCAACUGCAAAGAGGGACAUGGCUUUGGAAAGGACCAACUUUGCACUGGCAGUACUGAAGGAUUCAGGUUUC